UCAAGGGUUUUCUUCAAAACCACAACCAGAAAUAAGAGAAUAUGG
Non-coding RNA from Picea glauca (white spruce), 45 nucleotides. The record is from Rfam. NCBI's taxonomy places the organism in Eukaryota, Viridiplantae, Streptophyta, Pinopsida, Pinales, Pinaceae.